GAUGAACGCUGGCGGCGGGCCUAAUACAUGCAAGUCGAGCGAACAGACGAGGAUCUUGCUUCUCUGACGUUACGGGCGGACGGGUGAGGAACACGUGGAUAACCGACCUAGAGGGAUGGCGUACGUCAGGGAACCCUAAUAUAGAACAGGUAAAGAGGUAGAACGUGGGGGUUCAACGGACAACACGGUCUUGGCUGUGCCUAGGUCGCAUUAGCUAGUUGGUUAGGUAAAGGCUUACCAAGGCGACGAUCCGUAGCCGGUCUGAGAGGGUGAUCGGCCACACUGGAACUGAGACACGGUCCAGACUCCUACGGGAGGCAGCAGUAGGGAAUCUUCCGCAAUGGGCGAAAGCCUGACGGAGCCACGCCGCGUGAGUGAAGAAGGUCUUCGGAUCGUAAAGCUCUGUUAUUAGGGAAGAACAAAUGUGUAAGUAACUAUGCACGUCUUGACGGUACCUACUCAGAAAGCCCCGGCUAACUACGUG
Molecule: ribosomal RNA, 484 nt
Filed under: uncultured bacterium
Lineage: Bacteria
Description: partial 16S ribosomal RNA
Rfam family: Bacterial small subunit ribosomal RNA
Source: RNAcentral